Raphanus sativus (radish) is the source of this 418-nucleotide long non-coding RNA. RefSeq lists it as uncharacterized. The transcript has 2 exons. NCBI's taxonomy places the organism in Eukaryota, Viridiplantae, Streptophyta, Magnoliopsida, Brassicales, Brassicaceae. The record is from RefSeq and is a predicted model, not a curated record.
UGGAGCAGCCAGAGGAAGAAGAACAUCUUGGAAUGCUGUGAGUUUAGCUAGUCCACCAUAUUCUUCCGGCAAGGCAUCUAGUUCUACUUUUUCUUCGAGCUUUCGCUGUUCUUCACUGUCCGUUACUAUUACAAUCUAGUCAACAAAAGUUGGUUUGUCUAGAAAACGGCAGACAAAUCUCCAAAGUGUCACGAAAAUUCCAGGCAUGUGCAAGAUGUAGCAUUUUGAGAGGCGUUCCGGGUAGUAAGCCUGAAGAUGGAUUUAUAUAUAGUUAUAAACUUAUGACACAUGUGAUCUUGAGAAAACAAAAGGAGAUGGUUGAUUUACUUGUAAGAAUUGAAAGCCGGUGAUAGUUCCACGAGCAUCGAGGUUCUUGUAUGUAAUGUUUUGCAGAUCAAUAAGACAUACCACCUUCUCA